UACAGAGGUCCCAAGCGUUGUUCGGAUUCACUGGGCGUAAAGGGUGCGCAGGUGGGUUGGCAAGUUUGAUGUGAAAGCCCCGGGCUUAACCUGGGAACUGCGUUUGAUACGGAUGGGCUAGAGUUCGGGAGAGGAGAGUGGAAUUCCCAGUGUAGAGGUGAAAUUCGUAGAUAUUGGGAAGAACACCGGUGGCGAAGGCGGCUCUCUGGACCGAGACUGACGCUGAGGCGCGAAAGCGUGGGGAGCAAACAGG
Molecule: ribosomal RNA, 253 nt
Filed under: uncultured bacterium
Lineage: Bacteria
Description: partial 16S ribosomal RNA
Rfam family: Bacterial small subunit ribosomal RNA
Source: RNAcentral